Molecule: long non-coding RNA, 8013 nt
Filed under: Ananas comosus (pineapple)
Lineage: Eukaryota; Viridiplantae; Streptophyta; Magnoliopsida; Poales; Bromeliaceae
Description: long non-coding RNA (ACOM_LNC031545)
Source: RNAcentral
AAGUUGCACCCUAACAGUAUAACUUUGCAACGAGUACUUUUUCUCAUUCAAUAGAACAAAGAGUAAAACUUAAUUAUAUUGUUCUAUUAUGCCCCGAGAGUAUAAAUUUGCAACGUAUCGAUGUCAACGUUCAAAAGAACUAAAACCGGAACAACAUUAGACUACUCAGUUACGCCCUAACAGUAUAACUUUACAAACAGUAAUUUUUUUCAUUCAAUGGAACAAAAAGUAAAACCUAAUUAUAUUGUUCUAUUAUGCUCCAAGAGUAUAAAUUUCCAACGUAUCGAUGUCAACGUUCACAAGAACCAAAACCGGAACAACAUUAGACUACUCAGUUGUGCCAAAACAAUAUAACUUUACAAACAGUGCUUUUUCUCAUCCAAUCGAACAAAGAGUAAAACCUAAUUAUAUUGUUCUAUUAUGCUCCGAGAGUGUAAAUUUGCAACGUAUCGAUGUCAACGUUCAUAAGAACCAAAACCGAAAAAACAUUAGACUACUCAGUUGUUCCAAAAUAUUAUAACUUUGCAAUGAUUACUUUUUCUCAUUCAACCGAACAAAGAGUAAACCUAAUUAUACUGUUCUAUUAUGCCCCGAGAGUAUAAAUUUGCAACGUGUCGAUGUCAACGUUCACAAAAAUCAAAACCGUACCAAUAUUAGACUACUACGUUGAGCCCUAACAGUAUCACUUUGCAACGAGUACUUUUUCUCAUUCAACCGAAAUAAAGAGUAAAUCCGAAUUAUAUUGUCCUAUUAUGCCCCGAGAGUGUAAAUUUGCAACGUAUCGAUGUCAACGUUCACAAGAACGUACUUUUCUCAUUUAAUCGAACAAUAGUAAACCUAAUUAUAUUGUUCUAUUAUGCACCGAGAGUUAAAUUUGCAACGUAUCGAUGUCAACGUUCACAAGAACCAAAACCGAAAAAAUAUUAGACUAAGUAUACGCCCUAACGUAUAAAUUUGCAAUGAGUAGUUUUCUCAAUUCAAUCGGACAAAAAAUAAAACCUAAUUAUAGUUUGUUGCAUUAUGCCCUGAGAGUGUAAUUGCAACGUUUCGGAUGUCAACGUUCACAAAAACCAAAACCGGACAAACAUUAGACUACUUAGUUCGCCCUAACAGUAUAACUUUACAACGAGUACUUUUUUUUCUUCAACCGAACAAAGAGUAAAACUAAUUAUAUUAUUUUUAUUAUGCCCCGAAGUGUAAUUUGUAACGUAUCUAUGAAACGUUCAACAAAGAACAAACCGAACAACAUUAGACUUCUCAGUUGCGCCCUAACAAUAUAACUUGGCAACUGUGUUUUUCUCAUCCAUCGAAUAAAGAGUAACCCAAUUAUAUUAUUCUAUUAUACGCCGAGAGUGUAAAUUGGCAACUUAUCGAUGUCAACGUUCACAAGAACCAAAACCGGACAAACAUUAGACUACUCAGUUGCGCACCUAACAGCAUAACUUUGCCAAUAAAUAGUUUUUCUCCUUCAUCGAACAAAGAGUAAAACCUAAUUAUACUGUUCUAUUUUGUCCCAAGAGUGUAAUUUACAACGUAUCGAUGUCAAGAUUCACAAAAACCAAAACCGAACCAACAUUAGACUACUCAGUUGCCGCCCUAACAGUUAAACUUUACAACGAGUAUUUUUCUCCUUUAACGAACAAGAGUAAACAAUUAUAUUUGUUCUAUUAUGUCCCGAAGUGUGUAAUUUGCAACGUAUCGAUGUAAACGUUCACAGACCAAAUGGAACAACACAAUGAAUACUCGUUGCGCCCUAACAGUAUAACUUUGGAAACUGUACUUAUUCUCAUUCGAAUCGAACAAAGAGUAAACCCAAUAUAUUGUUCUACUAUCCCGAGAGUGUAAAUUUGCAAUUAUCGAUGUCAACGUUCACAAGAAACAAAACUGGACAAACAUUUAGACUACUUAGUUGCGCCCUAACAGUAUAACUUUUGCAACGAGUAUUUUUCUCAUUCAACCGAACAAAGAGUAAAACAAUAUUUGUUCUAUUAUGACCGAGUGUGUAAAUUUCUAUCUGAUCGAUGCAAUGUUCACAAGCAACCACCGGAACUAGACUACUCGUUACGUACCAACAGUAUACUUUACAAACAGUACUUUUUCUCAUUCAAUCGAACAAAGAGUAACAACCAUAUACUCCUACUUUAUGCCCCGAAAAUGUAAAUUUGCAACGUAUCGAUGUCAACGUUCACAGAAAACCAAAGCCGAACAACAUUAGACUACUCAGUUGCACCCUAACAGUAUAAUAACUUUGCAAACAGUACAUUUUCUCAUUCCAUCGAACAAGAUAAAACCAAUUAUAUUAUUCUAUAAUGCCCGAGAAUUUAAAUUUGCAACGUAUCGAUGUCAACGUUCACAAAACCAAAACUAGACCAACAUUACCGGACCAACAUUAGAACUAGUUGCGCCCUAAACAGUAUAAACUUUUGUAAACGAUACUUUUUUUGAUUUCAACCCAACAAAGAGUAACAACCUUAAUUAUACGUUGACUCUAUUUCAUGCCUGAGAUGUAUAAAUUUGCGAGUAUCGGAUGUCAACGUUCACAAAAAUCCAAACGUGGAACAACAUUAGCACUACUCGAUGCGCCUAAACAGUAUAGUAAAACCAUUUUUAGAGCAUAAGGAUCAAUCCUUAGAGUUCUACCAUUAAAGGGUUUUGAAGCUUACCUCUCAAGCAAGCUCCAAUGGAGAGGAAGAAGAUGGAGAAGAUGGAAAUCCACCUUAGAGCUUCGAUCUCCACCAAAAUCAUCUAUUUUUGGGAGAGAUUUAGAGAGAGAAAGGGAUUUCUCUCCUUUCCCUUCCAUGCGUGUAUUGUGUGCGUGUGUGUGUGUGGUUGUGGUGUGCACGGUUGAGGGAGGAGAAGAAGAGCAAUGCUCUUUUCCACAAGCAGCCCCCUCAACUAUUCCACUUUUCAGUUUAGUCCCUCAAAUCUGAUAAGUUUCGUUGGAGCCCUUCCGGAUGUCCGAUUGAGCUCAAAUUUGACAGGCAUGCUCAGUUUAACGUACUGAGUAAGAAUAUGUCUUAAGUUUUCAGUUUCGACUCCGUUUGGUCACUGAAAACUGUACCGAACUGCAAUCUUUAUCAGAUAGCUUUCGGAUUUUAUUUCUCACUCUACGGGUAUCAAAAAAAUAUGAAACCUUAAAUCUAGCUUCACAAAAAUAUUUCUGACAUCUCUGCCAAUUUUCAUAAUUUUCUGAGACUGUGCGUUUUCUGCUAAUUUAUCUGCCCCGUUUCCAACAGAAAAUUCUAAAUCUUCUGUUUUAAUUCCGAUUUCAGCACAGGUCAUUCCCAACUUAUAUUUCACUUCUCUAAAUUCAAUAAAAAUAGUAUCUCAUACUAUUUUUAUUUAUUUCUAUUUUUUUAUAUUUAAAUCCGGUAUAUUACAUUACACCGCAACCUUACCGGAACCAUUCAAAUGGCUCUCCAACCAAAUGGACACCGUAGCUUCAUAAUUUUAGAAGUCCGGUACCUUACACUCACACUAUUUUUAUUUAUUUUCACUUUUACAUUUAAAAUUCGGUAUGUUACAUUCCACCGCAACCUUACCGGAACCUUUUAAAUGUACACCGUAACUUCAUAGUUUUAGAAGUCUGGUACCUUACACUAGGCCCUUACCGCGACCCUCGCCGGGGGUACUCGAACUCGAACCUGCAACAAUGUAGGGUGAGAACUACGAAUAGUUCCCUGUGGUUUCGACCGCUGACUCCUCCGAUCUCCCCACUAGGUCUAAGCAGGCAUAAGCAGAUAGAUAGAUAGAUAUUUAACCGAAAUGAAAGCAUAGUAAAGAACUACAGUAUACUACUAUGCCUGACAAGUAUGCAAUGAACAAUCGAAGCAAGUAUCACUAACAUGUCACUAGGAUCAUGCUACAAGCAAGUAUGUAACCUACUAGGCUCAAUAUGUUCAAUGUCCAGCAUGUCUGUUACCCAAUCCUUGGCCAACCAAGAGUUAACCCUCGACUCACAUCUCAAUCCCACCUUGGUGAGGACCCUGCUGUCAACCCACCCGGUACAGUCUGCGGACAACUACGUCUGUCCUGAACAUGACCACCUCCGUAGCGCACUAACGGGAGGAGCGACCACCCCAAGCACAAGACUAUGUGAGUAUGAUCCAUCCUCGCCAUCGAGGAAGCCCUAUCCUCUAGGGUUAUCAAUCUCUCGGGAAUACACUGGUUUGUACCUAUGUCCAAAGCCUCAAUGCUAGCAACUGUGUCAAUGACGCACAAGUUCUCAUGCAAGAUGUCCACUGGAAAACUCAUCUAGUCCCUACAUCAUCAUAUCAUAGUGUUCUUUACACUAAGCUCUAACGCCACUCGUCAAGUGUUUUCUAUGUUCCAUGCCACUCGUCAUAAUACAAGGUCCCAACAUUACACAUGUCAUUAACUUUCAUAAUCAUAAGAUCAAGUUACUACUUAUCUUUAUCACUAUAGGGUUCUAUGUCAUUAUACUCAUUCUCAUGCCUUCUAGGUUCCAGUGCCAAUCAGAUUGCUGCACUACCAAGAAGCAUGCUAGAAUAAAACAUUACCAACUACACCCUAUAAUGCAUAAUACUACAUGUGCAAUAUGAUCAACAAAAUACAACUUAGACAUAGGGAGCAGCUCAACUGCUUCAGGAUGGACACCACCCACCUUUUGGUAGUGCCGCGAGGUUAGGAAACUCGACUUCGCGAUCCUUGGUCGCCGUCUUGACUCUUCGGGUCAAUACGAACCCACGAGCACUCGUUUCGGCGAUAACUCCGUACUUGCUUGACGAAUCGACGAACCGUCUUCGCCGACGCGUUUAGAGACCUAGCAAUGAGUAAAACCUAAUUAUAUUGUUAUAUUAGGCUCCGAGAGUAUAAAUUUUCAACGUAUCGAUGUCAACGUUCACAAGAACCAAAACCGGAACAACAUUAGACUACUCAGUUGCACCCUAACAGUAUAACUUUGCAAACAGUACUUUUUCUCAUUCAAUCGAACAAAGAGUAAAACCUAAUUAUAUUGUUCUCUUAUGCCCGAGAGUGUAAAUUUGCAACGUAUCGACAUCAACUUUCACAAGAACCAAAACCGGAACAACAUUAGACUGCAAAGUUGCGUCCGAACAGUAUAACUUUGCACACAGUACUUUUUCUCAUUUAAUCGAACAAAUAGUAAAACCUAAUUAUAUUGUUCUAUUAUGCACCGAGAGUUUAAAUUUGCAACGUAUCGAUGUCAACGUUCACAAGAACCAAAACCGAAAAAAUAUUAGACUAAGUUACCCCCUAACAGUAUAAAUUUGCAAUGAGUACGUUUUCUCAUUCAAUCGAACAAAAAGUAAAACCUAAUUAUAUUGUUCUAUUAUGCCCUGAGAGUGUAAAUUUGCAACAUUUCGAUGUCAACGUUCACAAAAACCAAAACCGGACAAACAUUAGACUACUUAGUUGCGCCCUAACAGUAUAACUUUACAACGAGUACUUUUUUUUCUUCAACCGAACAAAGAGUAAAACCUAAUUAUAUUAUUUUAUUAUGCCCCGAGAGUGUAAUUUGUAACGUAUCUAUGAAACGUUCACAAGAACCAAAAUCGGAACAACAUUAGACUUCUCAGUUGCGCCCUAACAAUAUAACUUUGCAAACUGUAUUUUUUCUCAUCCAAUCGAAUAAAGAGUAAACCCAAUUAUAUUAUUCUAUUAUACGCCGAGAGUGUAAAUUGGCAACUUAUCGAUGUCAACGUUCACAAGAACCAAAAUCGGACAAACAUUAGACUACUCAGUUGCGCCCUAACAGCAUAACUUUGCAAUGAAUAGUUUUUCUCCUUCAAUCGAACAAAGAGUAAAACCUAAUUAUACUGUUCUAUUUUGUCCCAAGAGUGUAAAUUUACAACGUAUCGAUGUCAAGAUUCACAAAAACCAAAACCGAACCAACAUUAGACUACUCAGUUGCGCCCUAACAGUAUAACUUUACAACGAGUAUUUUUCUCCUUUAACCGAACAAAGAGUAAACCUAAUUAUGUUGUUCUAUUAUGUCCCGAGUGUGUAAAUUUGCAACGUAUCGAUGUAAACGUUCACAAGAACCAAAAUCGGAACAACAAUAAAAUACUCAGUUGCGCCCUAACAGUAUAACUUUGCAAACUGUACUUAUUCUCAUUCAAUCGAACAAAGAGUAAAACCCAAUUAUAUUGUUCUAUUAUUCCCCGAGAGUGUAAAUUUGCAACUUAUCGAUGUCAACGUUCACAAGAAACAAAACUGGACAAACAUUAGACUACUUAGUUGCGCCCUAACAGUAUAACUUUGCAACGAGUACUUUUUCUCAUUCAACCGAACAAAGAGUAAACAAUAUAUUGUUCUAUUAUGACCCGAGUGUGUAAAUUUCUAUCUGAUCGAUGCCAAUGUUCACAAGAACCAAAACCGGACCAACAUUAGACUACUCAGUUACGCCCUAACAGUAUAACUUUACAAACAGUACUUUUUCUCAUUCAAUCGAACAAAGAGUAAAACCAAAUUAUAUUAUUCUAUUAUGCCCCGAAAAUGUAAAUUUGCAACGUAUCGAUGUCAACGUUCACAAGAACCAAAGCCCGAACAACAUUAGACUACUCAGUUGCACCCUAACAGUAUAACUUUGCAAACAGUACAUUUUCUCAUUCCAUCGAACAAAGAGUAAAACCAAAUUAUAUUAUUCUAUAAUGCCCCGAGAAUUUAAAUUUGCAACGUAUCGAUGUCAACGUUCACAAAAACCAAAACUAGACCAACAUUAGCCGGACCAACAUUAGACUACUCAGUUGCGCCCUAACAGUAUAACUUUGUAACGAGUACUUUUUCUGAUUCAACCCAACAAAGAGUAAAACCUAAUUAUAUUACUCUAUUAUGCCCUGAGAGUAUAAAUUUGCGACGUAUCGAUGUCAACGUUCACAAAAAUCAAAACUGGAACAACAAUAGACUACUCAGUUGUGCCCUGACAGUGUAACUUUGCAACGAGUACUUUUUCUCAUUNUUUUCUCAUUCAAUCGAACAAAGAUUAAAACUAAUUAUAUUGUUCUAUUAUGCCCGAGAUUGUAAAUUUGCAAUGUAUCGAUGUCAACGUUCACAAGAACCAAAACUGGAACAACAUUAGACGACUCAAUUUCGUCCUAACAGUAUAAAUUUGCAAACAGUGCUUUUUCUCAUUCAAUCGAACAUUGAGUAAAACCGAAUUAUAUUGUUCUAUUAUGCCCCGAGACUGUAAAUUUGCAACGUAUCGUUGUCAACGUUCACAAGAAACAAAACCGAAAAAAUAUUAGACUACUCAAUUGCUCCCUAACAGUAUAACUUUGCAAUGAGUACUUUUUCUCAUUCAAUCGAAUAAAGAGUAAAACCUAAUUUUAUUGUUCUAUUAUGCCACGAGAGUGUAAAUUUGCAAUGUAUCAAUGUCAACGUUCACAAAAGUCAAAACCAGACCAACAUUAAACUACUUAGUUGCGCCCUAACAGUAUAACUUUACAACGAGUACUUUUUCUCCUUCAACCGAACAAAGAAUAAAACCUAAUUAUAUUGUUCUAUUACGCUCCGAGAGUGUAAAUUUGCAACGUAUCGAUGCAAACGUCCACAAGAACCAAAACCAGAACAAUAUUAGACUACUCAGUUGCGCCCUAACAGUAUAACUUUGCAAACUAUGCUUUUUCUCAUUUAAUGGAAUAAAGAGUAAAACCCAAUUAUAUUGUUCUAUUAUACUCCGAGAGUGUAAAUUUGCAACGUAUCAAUGUCAACGUUCACAAGAACCAAAACCGAAAAAAUAUUAGACUGCUCAGUUGCUCCCUAACAGUAUAACUUUACAUUGAGUAUUUUUUCUCAUUCAACCAAAUAAAGAGUAAAACCUAAUUAUAUUGUUCUAUUAUGUCCCGAGAGUGUAAAUUUGCAACGUAUCGAUGUCAACGUUCACAAAAACCAAAACCGAACCAACAUUAGACUACUAAGUUGCGCUCUAACAGUAUAACUUUGCAACGAGUACUUUUUCUCCUUCAACCGAAUAAAGAGUAAAACCUAAUUAUAUUGUUCUAUUAUACCCGGAGAGUGUAAAUUUGCAACGUA